GAUGAACGCUGGCGGCGUGCUUAACACAUGCAAGUCGAACGAAGCACUUUUAAUUCUUCGGAAGGGGAAGUGACUGAGUGGCGGACGGGUGAGUAACGCGUGGGUAACCUGCCUUAUACAGGGGGAUAACAGUUAGAAAUGACUGCUAAUACCGCAUAAGCCGAUAGAGUCGCAUGACUUAGUCGGAAAAGAUUUAUCGGUAUAAGAUGGACCCGCGUCUGAUUAGCUAGUUGGUGAGGUAAUGGCCCACCAAGGCGACGAUCAGUAGCCGGCUUGAGAGAGUGAACGGCCACAUUGGGACUGAGACACGGCCCAAACUCCUACGGGAGGCAGCAGUGGGGAAUAUUGCACAAUGGGGGAAACCCUGAUGCAGCAACGCCGCGUGAAGGAAGAAGUAUUUCGGUAUGUAAACUUCUAUCAGCAGGGAAGAAAAUGACGGUACCUGACUAAGAAGCCCCGGCUAACUACGUGCCAGCAGCCGCCGUAA
RNAcentral lists this ribosomal RNA (487 nucleotides) under uncultured bacterium. Its description in RNAcentral is "partial 16S ribosomal RNA". It matches the Rfam family "Bacterial small subunit ribosomal RNA", at positions 28 to 523 of the family's 1533-position model. The record is from RNAcentral.